This 309-nucleotide ribosomal RNA is filed under the name uncultured bacterium. RNAcentral describes it as "partial 16S ribosomal RNA". It matches the Rfam family "Bacterial small subunit ribosomal RNA", at positions 504 to 807 of the family's 1533-position model. The record is from RNAcentral.
AGAGACAGCAGUCGCCACGGGAAUACGGAGGGUGCAAGCGUUAAUCGGAAUUACUGGGCGUAAAGCGCACGCAGGCGGUCUGACAAGUCAGAUGUGAAAUCCCCGGGCUUAACCUGGGAACUGCAUUUGAAACUGUCAGGCUGGAGUCUUGUAGAGGGGGGUGGAAUUCCAGGUGUAGCGGUGAAAUGCGUAGAGAUCUGGAGGAAUACCGGUGGCGAAGGCGGCCCCCUGGACAAAGACUGACGCUCAGGUGCGAAAGCGUGGGGAGCAAACAGGAUUAGAUACCCGAGUAGUCCCUGUCUCUUAUAC